Lolium rigidum is the source of this 1869-nucleotide long non-coding RNA. RefSeq lists it as uncharacterized. The record is from RefSeq and is a predicted model, not a curated record. The transcript is spliced from 9 exons. Lineage: Eukaryota; Viridiplantae; Streptophyta; Magnoliopsida; Poales; Poaceae.
UACCAGGCAGGAGGACCGUGGAGUCGACUAACUGCUCAAAGACAAUGCCCGAAAGGGUUGGUGAUUGAUGUUGCUGGUAUUUUACUUGAGGUAUCAAUGAUUAAUGAUGGAUUUCUGGUUGGGUGAUCUGUUAAUGGCCAUUGAUACUUCUGUAGUGUGUUGUUCCCCGGCGAAGAGAAAAUCUUUGAGCAGUUCUAUAUACAUGUGGUAUUUCUUUGGACAAGAAUUGAUGGUGGUGAUUGAUUUCAAGUGAAAAACUUCUAGGUUAAAUUAAGUACAUAUGCAGCUAAAUUUUGCUUUCAUGAUUUUAUUGUGUCGUCUCUGAUUUAAAACUUAGGUUUCCUACUGCAGCUACACCUUGCACAGUAAAAAAUAAUAUUAGACGCUAUGCUUCUUUGCUUUAUUCGUGACUGAAGCUAAACUAUAUCUAUAUCCUCUUAAGUUGUAUUCAUUAUAUUAUUUACUCACCUUCGUCAAUUUAAUUCUAGCGUUUUGAGAAGGAGAAGGAUCGUCUGAACAAUGGAUGUACUGAAGUGGAUCCCGUGGUUCGGCGAAACUGACGCCCUUGCUGGAUAUGCAUUCAUUGAUGGAUCUUACAUGAUGUCCUGGCUAGAUAGCUUAUAUUGAUUGUGCUUGAAGUGAAAGUAAAAGAAGUACAAAAACAAGUGAUUUCUGAAUUGUCAGGUUAUGGUUUAGGCAAACCAUUGUGUCAUAAAAACUGCUAUUUAUACCAAGCCUUUUUGUUGCUGUCCAAUCUUAGUAUGUCAAAAACUAGAAAUGCCUAAAUUUCAGCUUAGUUUAUGUUGAGGCGUCAAAGCCCACAUUAGUUUUUUGUUCUAAAUUGCAUUAUCACUAUUUACAUUGCAUGUCAAACAAGGCGGAGCUAAUUUUUGCUUAAACAUGAGCAUAUUUUCAACUUGCUACAUUCAAAUGGCGACUUAUAUAUUUUUUGUGUAAGAAGUCAUGUGCUUAUGUUUCAUACUUCUAUCCCUUCGUAGUCAUGCACUGCACAAGCGCCUAGAGCCACCGCAGGUCGUGGCGAGAAGGAUCAUGUGUGGGAAGCAAAAAUCAGAGGAACAUCCAAUACAAAUUCUUUUGAUGUCAGUUAUGAUUGCAGAAUCCAAAGCUGAUCAAGUGCAUGAGGUGGAGAUGAGCAUGAAGCUAUCGCUGCUCAAGCCAUGGGAAAGGAGAAAAGAGCAACGCCAACAUGCAUGUUUGCCCACACUGGAUUGUACUUGCCUCAAGAGGAUUCGCAAACAUUGGUUUAUAAACAUUGGUGCAAUCUCAAACAUGUAUGAUGUGAAUAAUUUAUCAUGUCUAGAGUGAUGCCUUGAAGUAAGAUGAUAUCUGGUCUACAUCUAUUUUCCAGAUUACUCAAGCUAUUGCUUUUAUCCUCCAACUCGACUUAAAGUUAAUUCAGUUGGAAGAAGAAAAUGGCCAGGGACAAACAGUAUAAAGCACUAUUUCAGUUUGAGCAAAUGGCCAGGGAAAAUGACUCUUUGAUCUCCAUAUGGGUAAAGUCAUUCAGCUACGAGUUUGAACAGCCAAGCGGACGAGCACCUAACGGUUUCUGGAUGGCCGCACCUGAUUGGUUCCUCUCCGUCAGCACCGCCCCUUUUAGAGUUUGUGCUGGGCAACCUUGGACUAAAGAUGGUUUGGUCGGAGUAAGGAAAACAAAACUGAGGUUAUGUUGAAGCUUGGACAUACCAGAGAUCAACCCGGCGAGAAGCAAGUAUAUACCAGGAAACCAAAGAAUAGAAGAAUGUAUUUUGUCCAGACGAUCACUGCACCUGCAAUGGAAAAUAGAAGCCACUUAUGUACCACUGCCACAAGUAUCUACUAUAAAAGCUCCAAGGAAAACACUUAGUU